Molecule: ribosomal RNA, 1008 nt
Filed under: Amniculicola yunnanensis
Lineage: Eukaryota; Fungi; Ascomycota; Dothideomycetes; Pleosporales; Amniculicolaceae
Description: SSU rRNA
Rfam family: Eukaryotic small subunit ribosomal RNA
Source: RNAcentral
GUGAAACUGCGAAUGGCUCAUUAAAUCAGUUAUCGUUUAUUUGAUAGUACCUUACUACUUGGAUAACCGUGGUAAUUCUAGAGCUAAUACAUGCUAAAAACCCCGACUUCGGAAGGGGUGUAUUUAUUAGAUAAAAAGCCAAUGCCCUCCGGGGCUCUUUGGUGAUUCAUAGUAACUUAACGGAUCGCAUGGCCUUGCGCCGGCGACGGUUCAUUCAAAUUUCUGCCCUAUCAACUUUCGAUGGUAAGGUAUUGGCUUACCAUGGUUUCAACGGGUAACGGGGAAUUAGGGUUCGAUUCCGGAGAGGGAGCCUGAGAAACGGCUACCACAUCCAAGGAAGGCAGCAGGCGCGCAAAUUACCCAAUCCCGACACGGGGAGGUAGUGACAAUAAAUACUGAUACAGGGCUCUUUUGGGUCUUGUAAUCGGAAUGAGUACAAUUUAAACCCCUUAACGAGGAACAAUUGGAGGGCAAGUCUGGUGCCAGCAGCCGCGGUAAUUCCAGCUCCAAUAGCGUAUAUUAAAGUUGUUGCAGUUAAAAAGCUCGUAGUUGAACCUUGGGCCUGGCUGGCCGGUCCGCCUCACCGCGUGUACUGGUCGGCCGGGCCUUUCCUUCUGGAGAACCCCAUGCCCUUCACUGGGUGUGCGGGGGAACCAGGACUUUUACUGUGAAAAAAUUAGAGUGUUCAAAGCAGGCCUUUGCUCGAAUACGUUAGCAUGGAAUAAUAGAAUAGGACGUGCGAUCCUAUUUUGUUGGUUUCUAGGACCGCCGUAAUGAUUAAUAGGGAUAGUCGGGGGCAUCAGUAUUCAAUUGUCAGAGGUGAAAUUCUUGGAUUUAUUGAAGACUAACUACUGCGAAAGCAUUUGCCAAGGAUGUUUUCAUUAAUCAGUGAACGAAAGUUAGGGGAUCGAAGACGAUCAGAUACCGUCGUAGUCUUAACCGUAAACUAUGCCGACUGGGGAUCGGGCGAUGUUUCUAUCUUGACUCGCUCGGCACCCUAAGAGAAAU